RNAcentral lists this long non-coding RNA (2825 nucleotides) under Homo sapiens (human). RNAcentral's name for it is "HSALNT0143153". Lineage: Eukaryota; Metazoa; Chordata; Mammalia; Primates; Hominidae. The record is from RNAcentral.
AUUCAGGUCAAGAAAUGAGGCUGCCUGGGGCCCUGUGCGAUUGGGCAAGUUGCUUAACCUUCAGGAGGAUUCACAAAGUCCUUUGGGAUUUUUCAGAACCUAAGAGGCAUUAUUAAAACAAAGAUAAUAAUACCUUUCCCGACCAACUUGUUUUUCACUUUUCCUAAUGUUUACUAAACACCGAUGUUCUGUGUCAUUCCCAGUGUCUGCACAUGAGGAGUUUGCGAUUUAAUGGGGAGACAAACAGAUAAUUGUUCUGCCUGGGAAGUCAUGUAAGGCUAAGAGAAGGAGGUGAAGCGGCAGAGGGAGAGCUUGAUCUUGUGAGAUUUAUUCAUUCGGCAAAUAUUUAUUCAUCCUUUACCAUAUGCCCAGGACUAUGCCAGGUGCUGAGGUUGAGUGGGUAUUUUUUUUUUUUUUCCUGGAGAGCAAGUCUCAUUCUGUCACCCAGGCUGGAGUGCAGUGGCGCGAUCUCGGCUCACUGCAACUUCCACCUCCUAGGUUCAAGCGAUUCUCCUGCCUCAGCCUCCUGAGUAGCUGGGAUUACAGGCAUGCGACCCCAAGACUGGCAAAUGUUCAUAUUUUUAGUAGAGAUGGUGUUUCACCAUGUUGGCCAGGCUGGUCUCGAACUCCUGACCUCAUGUGAUCCACCAGCCUUGGCCUCCUAAAGUGCAGGGAUUACAGACUUGAGCCACUGCGCCCGGUCCAGAGCAGCAGGCAUCCAUGGAAGAAUCAGAUCGGGACAACAUCUGUCUCUGCCCUUGGGAGAGGCCAAGUCUCAACCUCUUUGUGAUUCUACCUGUUCCUUCUGGAGCUCUGCAUGGCUGGCUUCUGGAAGGCCAUCAGCUGUGAUCUCACCUGGACCCAAAACUACAGCUCCCACUCACUGCCCAUCAUAUGAGCCACUGAAAGUCCUGGCGUGGUGUUGGAGGAGCUGUUUCCUGAUUGCAGAGUAUCUAGAAUGGAAGGCCUGUCGUGAUGGGAUUUUGUUGGCAGGUUGUCUUCCAGAUGGCUAUGAAGACAAUUUUGCUUUAUGCUGCCCAAUUCUGGUUGCUUCCUCUCCUAGGAAAUGAGAGCCUUCAUGGUGGACAUGGCCUUAAAGACCAACACUGUUGUUUUAUGGCUAAAAAGAUGGACAUACAGAUCGGUGAAAUGCCUACAAAACUAGAAUGCUACCCAGGCCCAGAGGCAGCUGUCUGAACAUAACCAUGGAGAGGAGAGUUUCCCCUUCCUGGAGCACCCUCUUCCCUUCCCUUCCCAGCACCCUCCUUCCCUGCUUCUCCAUCUGUUGUCACCUUUCCCCUCUGUACUGGAUUGAACAGUGUGCCCCAAAAAUUCAUGUUCACCUGGAACCUCAGCAUUUGACCUUAUCUGGAAAUAGGAUCUCUGCAGAUGUAACUCAGUUAACGUGAGGUCAUACUGGAUUAAGAUGAACCAUAAUCCAGGCUGGGUGCAGUGGCUUAUGCCUGUAAUCCCAGCACUUUGGGAGGCUGAGGCGGGAGGAUCACCUGAGGUUGGGAGUUUGAGACCAGCCUGACCAACAUGGAGAAACCCCGUCUCUACUGAAAAUACAAAAUUAGCCGGGCAUGGUGGUGCAUGCUGGUAGUCCCAGCUACUUGGGAGGCUGAGGCAGGAGAAUCACUUGAACUCGGGAGGCGGAGUUUGCGGUAAGCCAAAAUCGCGCCAUUGUGCUCCAGCCUGGGCAACAAGAGCAAAACUCCAUCUCAAAAAAAAAAAAAAAGAUGAACCAUAAUCCAAUAACUGGCAUCUUUACAAGAAGAGAGAAAUUUAGACACAAACACACAGUGGAAAGUGGUCACAUGAAGACAGAGGCAGAGAUUAGAGUUCUACGCCACAAACCAAGGAAUGCCAUACAUUGACAUCAACCAUUAAAGGCAAAGAAGAGACAAGGAAAAAUUGUUCUCUAGAGCCUUUGGAGAGAGCAUGGCCCUGCCGAAACCUUGAUUCCAGACCCCAACCUCCAGAACAGUGAGAGAAUACAUUUCUGUCGUUUUAAGCCAUUCAGUUAGUGGUGCUUUGUUACAACAGCCACAGGAAACCUGCACCCUCUUGUCUUGUGCUCUCCUCCAUCCCUCCCUUGGUGGAAGAAGAAUAGACUCCUAAGACACACGAAUUUACACAAACACAUUAGGAUCAAGGGCCCACAGCUUCAGUAUUUGCAUUUUAUAGGAUGACUUCCACUAAAGGUAACGAAGUGGAAGCAGGACUGGAAAUUCUCACAAAUGGAGGCCUAGUUACAGCUCUGCAAAUCACCCUUACAAAAAAAUGUAUCAUCACCUCCAUUUGAUAGAUGCAAAAGCCAGGGCUCAAAGAGGCAUGAGCAAAGGGGGCAGGGUUGUGUGGUGGCUAAGAGUGUAGCCUGUGGCCCCAUGGUCAGCCUGUGUCCAGAUCCUGGGUACUCUACUUCAUAACUGGCCAUAUGAACUUAGGCAAGUCAAUUUAACUUCUCUGGGCCUUGGUUGCCUCAUCUGUAGAAUGAGGAUAAUAAUAAUAAAAUCUAUCUCUAAGAUAGAUGGGAGGUAAAACCUAUCUCUAAGAUAGAUGGGUACCAUGGGUACCAUGCUCACUACCUGAAUGAAAGGAUUAAUGGUACCCCCAAACCUCAGUAUCACACAAUAUACCAUUAUAACAAACCUGCACCUAUACCCCCAAAUCUAAAAUAAAAACUGAAAAGAAGUUUUAAAAAAGUAAAAACAGAAAAAAAUGGAGCUAUGUGUAUUACUGGAAGGUUCUGGUAAUUUACCUAUUGUGGCUCAGCUACACAUCUCUUUGCUCUUUCAACCCUGCAAUACUUCUGUAACCACCCC